UGACGGUACCUGACUAAGAAGCCCCGGCUAACUACGUGCCAGCAGCCGCGGUAAUACGUAGGGGGCAAGCGUUAUCCGGAUUUACUGGGUGUAAAGGGAGCGUAGACGGAAUGGCAAGUCUGAUGUGAAAGGCAUGGGCUCAACCUGUGGACUGCAUUGGAAACUGUCAUUCUUGAGUGCCGGAGGGGUAAGCGGAAUUCCUAGUGUAGCGGUGAAAUGCGUAGAUAUUAGGAGGAACACCAGUGGCGAAGGCGGCUUACUGGACGGUAACUGACGUUGAGGCUCGAAAGCGUGGGGAGCAAACAGGAUUAGAUACCCUG
This 320-nucleotide ribosomal RNA is filed under the name uncultured bacterium. RNAcentral's name for it is "bacterial SSU rRNA". It matches the Rfam family "Bacterial small subunit ribosomal RNA", at positions 470 to 789 of the family's 1533-position model. The record is from RNAcentral.